GUCAUGUGUAGCAGCAUGAGAGAUCCAUUGUGAAUGUUUCCAUAAAGUGUACCCUGACACCUUUGUUUGCUCAUUGUGACGCGUUUCUGCCCCUUCCAUCAUCACCAGGGGAACCCAGUGCAUCUGUAGGGAUGGGGUUGGUUUAUUAUUGCGAUGGGCCCAUAGUUCUUAAAGCUGGUCCUCAGAAUUUUCCUCCAAUUACUUUUUGGUAGGAAUCUGGCAUUUUGUAGACCGCUUGUAAGCAUUCAGGCUUUGCCCAAAAUCUUUGUGAAGGAUUAAUUUUUUUGGGACAAGAGGAAGUUCUCCAUGUCCAGGAUCAGCAAAACAGCCCUCUACCUAAACUAAGGAGGACUACACGCUAACUAGGAAGUGUGUUCUAAGAUACCAAGAGAGGCUCAUAUACCUCAGAAGUGCAUUUGGACAGAGAGGUGGGGCCUUUUUUUAUGGAGAGGUUGGAGAAGAAGAGUAAACUGGGAGCUUAGAUACCUAGGGCAGUCCCUAAGUAUCUCUAAGGAUUCCAAGCUGCUGAAGGUGAGGAAUGUCCUUAUUUCAUUACACGACCCUGGAGACCUCAGAGGUCGCAGAUGCUUAUGGAGCCACUUUUUAUGGUAAUUUUGGACUCUGGCCUCAAACUCUCGGAGGUAGGACCCAUGUGGGUAUGGAAGCUUUCUUUUGUUGGAAAGAGAGGCAGUGAUGUGUGUUUUGCUUUCUGUCCCAUGAGUGUCAUUCUGCCUUCAUAGAGGAGGUGACCCUUGAGUUGCACCUUCAAGGAAAAGGUUUCCAAGGAGAGAAUGUGUAGGGCACCUGGCAGGGGUCUAGUAUGUGCACAGACAGAGGACAGAUUGAAUCCUGGUUCACUCUUCUGUGUUGGACACCAAGGCUGGCUGUGAUCAGUGAAUUGGGGUAUCCCCAACAUUCUCUUUCUGCUCUGAGGGGUUCCUGUUAGGCUGCAGUUCUCACCUGCUCUGGCAGGCUGUCCUCUGCUGCGGGUUCUCCCCUUCUAGGAGGUCCCCAACCCCCGUGUUGCAGGCCUGGUGAGUUGCCUGACUCCCUCAUCACUAGCAGAAGUGACCUUAUUUUCAAGGUUGAGGACUGAAGUGAGUCCUGGAGCUUGUAAGAAAAAAAAAAAAAA
Ictidomys tridecemlineatus (thirteen-lined ground squirrel) is the source of this 1132-nucleotide non-coding RNA. NCBI's taxonomy places the organism in Eukaryota, Metazoa, Chordata, Mammalia, Rodentia, Sciuridae. The record is from RefSeq and is a predicted model, not a curated record.